UGGUCCAUCCUAAUUCCUGGUGGCCGCCCGGGGCCUUCCAGGUUUCGCUUGUGGCCCAGAGCAGCCUAGAAGCCUCGUCCCAGGAGGAGCGAGCACGGCUCCCAUGGGCUCCUGCCAGAGGCACUUCUAGACAUUC
Molecule: small nucleolar RNA, 136 nt
Organism: Pipistrellus kuhlii (Kuhl's pipistrelle)
Lineage: Eukaryota; Metazoa; Chordata; Mammalia; Chiroptera; Vespertilionidae
Source: RefSeq, a predicted model, not a curated record